GAAAAAUGAAAAAAAAGCGGCACUCGAUCUCCUAUGUAUUGCAAGUGCGCGCACCUCCGGGCAUUGGUUAAAAGAAACAGCAGAAAGAAAAUGAAGGUUGGUCCGAAGGUAGUGUUUCUGCUGAGAGAUUCAGAGGGCUUCGGCGAAGCCAUCUCAGCUGCUUUCCGCCCAAAUCCAAGCAAUUCUACUGUAGAAGAAAGUUUUGAGCUUUCAUUGGAGCGCUAUGGAAUCCAAAAUUGCAAAGCUUCUGGAAUCCUUUGCCACUUCCUCGAUCCCCAGGGCCAAUAUGAGGUGUCUGUGUUGCUUAUGGAAUGCUAUGAACCGCCAAUACUAGCCUGUGCUAUUAAUGAAGUUCUAGCACAAUUAGCAGGGCAGAAUUCAUCCUCAGUUCCUACAGUCAUUGCCCCGUUUUUCCUAGAGUCAUCCAAGCUAAAGGGGGAAAGUAAAUCUGCAACAAAAUUUGAAAACAAAUGCUCACUUUAUGGUAUAGAGAUUGGUUCAGAAACAGCCAUAAGCAAGGCUAUGGCAACCAAAACCCAGAAGCCAUCGCCAUCCUUGCAGAUUAAUCAUGAACCUUUGGCUUGCUUUCUUCAGUUGGUCCGUGUUUUGAAGUUGCCAACAUAUGUUCUUAUCGGGCAAACAGCUCAACGCAUUUCUGGUAAAGAAGAGUUUCAGUUGGGUUUGGAGGCCAUGAUAGGAUAGUAAUUUGUAUUUCUACGAUUUGCUUGAGAGAUGAAUGGGAAAAUUAGUGUAUGCUCAGUUUCUCCAUGUUCCACUGCUGAAAAUCCUUUAUGAGAUUGGAGAAGUUUUAGCAAGCACUUUGAACCUUUCCUUUUCAAGAGACAAGAUCACAUGGAAUCCAACAAGAAAAUCAAAAGACGAUGGGGAGCCAUGGCGUGCAUUAUAUGGUUAAACCUCUACUGUCUCUGACAUCAGAGGUUGAGACAAGAUCCAUCGUCGGGUGCAUCAGGUUGAAAAAACUUUCAGUUCUUACUGUGAUUGAUAGAUCUAUGUUCAACAUCAUAGUGCUUAGACGUAAAACUACUUCAUCUGGAUCCCAGUUUGUGAACUGGCCAUGAAGAUAGUGAAAUGGCUUUUGCUACAAUUUAAAUUUACUUAUGGCUUUUCGUUUC
This is an RNA transcript of Pyrus x bretschneideri (Chinese white pear), 1133 nucleotides long. RefSeq lists it as uncharacterized. The transcript has 5 exons. The record is from RefSeq and is a predicted model, not a curated record. NCBI's taxonomy places the organism in Eukaryota, Viridiplantae, Streptophyta, Magnoliopsida, Rosales, Rosaceae.